AGCUUUGAGCAGUGGCAGUAUCGUAGCCAAUGAGGUUUAUCUAAGGCACGAUUAUUGCUAAUUGAAAACUUUUCCCAAUACCCCGCCAUGACGACAUGAAAUAUAAUCGGCGUUGGCAAUUUUUGGCUGUCUCUACAGGGG
This is a small nuclear RNA of Callithrix jacchus (white-tufted-ear marmoset), 141 nucleotides long. Its record names the gene U4. It matches the Rfam family "U4 spliceosomal RNA". Rfam says of the family: U4 small nuclear RNA (U4 snRNA) is a component of the major U2-dependent spliceosome. The structure of U4 snRNA from yeast and human has been reported. The record is from Ensembl. Lineage: Eukaryota; Metazoa; Chordata; Mammalia; Primates; Cebidae.